GUCCCCAGAAGCAUGUCCCUCUGAAUGAAGUAUAUUAUGACGAUCUUUCCAGGCCCUUCCUCUUCCAGGCCCUUCUGAGAAGCCCCCUUCCUGAUUUCCCAAGGCCCAGGGCAGCCUGGGGCAUCUCGAAGGGGCGAGGCCUGAGGUGCACACCCACGGGGUCUCAGGGUCCUCCCCCAGCUCUGCCCAGCCCUGCCCCCACACGUGCCCUCCUUCUUGUCUCCUGCGCAGACAGCUGCAGCUUUGGCCUGCACGCCCGCGGUGUGGAGCUGAUGCGCUUCACCACGCCCGGCUUCCCUGACAGCCCCUACCCCGCUCAUGCCCGCUGCCAGUGGGCCCUGCGGGGGGAUGCCGACUCAGUGCUGAGCCUCACCUUCCGCAGCUUUGACCUUGCGUCCUGCGACGAGCGCGGCAGCGACCUGGUGAUGGUGUACAACACCCUGAGCCCCAUGGAGCCCCACGCCCUGGUGCAGUUGUGUGGCACCUACCCUCCCUCCUACAACCUGACCUUCCACUCCUCCCAGAACGUCCUGCUCGUCACACUGAUAACCAACACUAGGCGGCGGCAUCCCGGCUUUGAGGCCACCUUCUUCCAGCUGCCUAGGAUGCGCAGCUGUGGAGGCCGCUUACGUAAAGCCCAGGGGACAUUCAACAGCCCCUACUACCCAGGCCACUACCCACCCAACAUUGACUGCACAUGGAACAUUGAGGUGCCCAACAACCAGCAUGUGAAGGUGCGCUUCAAAUUCUUCUACCUGCUGGAGCCCGGCGUGCCUGCGGGCACCUGCCCCAAGGACUACGUGGAGAUCAACGGGGAGAAGUACUGCGGAGAGAGGUCCCAGUUCGUCGUCACCAGCAACA
This 861-nucleotide small RNA is filed under the name Pan troglodytes (chimpanzee). RNAcentral describes it as "retained intron". The record is from RNAcentral. Lineage: Eukaryota; Metazoa; Chordata; Mammalia; Primates; Hominidae.